GAGCAUGAUGGGGCAUGUGCGGGAGCGCCAGGCGGGGCAUGUAACCAGAGCGUGCGGGGCAUGAUGGGGCACGGACAUGGGGGGUUAGGUGGGGCACGUAAUUGGAGCUCGCGGGGCAGGAUGGGGCAUCUAACUGGAGCGACAGAGAGCACGAUGGGGCACUUACAGGGGCCGGAGGCUGGAAGUUCCACUCCAUGGCCUCCAGGUAAUAACCUUGGAGAGAGCUCAGCCAGGGUCUGGUGGCUGCGGGCACGGGCAUCUCAGCUCCACUGGUUCCUCCAUUCAGCUUAACCAGCGCCUCCCAAGCAGCUGCCUAUAGCUGGCUCUAUAACUGAGCCUGGGGAAGAUAGAGGAAAGUCACGUCCCUGCCUUCAAGGGUCUCGCAGACAGGUGGGGAGGCAGAUGGUGAACUGUGGGUACCUAGAACAGCAGAAGUUCACUCAAGCUACAGAAAUACUAGAGGAGGGUAGCUCAUGCCUGCAAUCCCAGUACUUUGGGAGGCCAAGGCAGGAGUAUUGCUGGAGGCCGGGAGUUCGAGACCAGCCUGGCCAAUGUAGUAACACCCCCGUCUCUACAAAAAAUACAAAAAUAAAAAAAUUAGUUGGG
This 606-nucleotide long non-coding RNA is filed under the name Homo sapiens (human). Its description in RNAcentral is "HSALNT0124451". Lineage: Eukaryota; Metazoa; Chordata; Mammalia; Primates; Hominidae. The record is from RNAcentral.